This 559-nucleotide ribosomal RNA is filed under the name uncultured crenarchaeote. RNAcentral describes it as "bacterial SSU rRNA". It matches the Rfam family "Archaeal small subunit ribosomal RNA", at positions 339 to 903 of the family's 1478-position model. The record is from RNAcentral. Lineage: Archaea; Thermoproteati; Thermoproteota.
GCGCGGAACCUCCGCAAUGCGCGAAAGCGUGACGGGGUCACCCGAGUGCCAUCCGCUGAGGGUGGCUUUUGCUUGGUGUAAUCAGCCGAGUGAAUAAGGGGAGGGCAAGUCUGGUGUCAGCCGCCGCGGUAAUACCAGCUCCUCGAGUGGUUGGGACGAUUAUUGGGUCUAAAGCGUCCGUAGCCGGCCGGAAAAGUUCCCCGUUAAAUCCGACGAUCCAAUCGUCGGGCUGCGGAGAAUACUCUUCGGCUUGGGGGCGGGGAGGUCGGCGGUAGUCCCGGGGUAGGGCGAAAUCUUAUAAUCCCGGGAGGACCACCAGUGGCGAAGGCGGCCGACUAAAACGCGCCCGACGGUGAGGGACGAAAGCUGGGGGAGCGAACGGGAUUAGAUACCCCGGUAGUCCCAGCUGUAAACGAUGCAGGCUAGGUGUCGGGAUGGCUACGGGCCACCUCGGUGCCGCAGGGAAGCCAUUAAGCCUGCCACCUGGGAAUACGGUCGCAAGGCUGAAACUUAAAGGAAUUGGCGGGGGAGCACCACGAAGGGGUGAAGCUUGCGGUUU